GGGGUUAGAUUUUCUAAAGAAUUGCAAAUUCUUUAUUAUGGUUAACCAACCAUUAGCCCUU
This 61-nucleotide transfer RNA is filed under the name Allacma fusca. RNAcentral describes it as "tRNA-Cys". Lineage: Eukaryota; Metazoa; Arthropoda; Collembola; Symphypleona; Sminthuridae. The record is from RNAcentral.